AAGGCAGACAUACAUAACCCUUCUUCUUCUCUGAAAAUGCCUUUCCAACAAACCCUCUCGAGUCACUCCGUGUUCCUUAUUCCUUGGGGUACUUCUACAUGUUGGAAAUAUGCCCUGAAAGUCAAUCUUUGGAAGAAACCUUUUAGGACAAAUGAAACGAUGUAUGGAUGAUUCUUAUACAUCAAAUGGCAAAGACACGAAUUAGGACUAUCUCAAUAAACGAUAUAUGUCCUAAAUAGUGUAUCCAUGGACAGUGGAUCGAUUGAAGAAGUAAUCUAAUGAUGUUAGAC
This 290-nucleotide long non-coding RNA is filed under the name Malus domestica (apple). RNAcentral's name for it is "long non-coding RNA (MDOM_LNC019934)". The record is from RNAcentral. Lineage: Eukaryota; Viridiplantae; Streptophyta; Magnoliopsida; Rosales; Rosaceae.